This 1455-nucleotide long non-coding RNA is filed under the name Chloebia gouldiae (Gouldian finch). RNAcentral describes it as "Erythrura gouldiae (Gouldian finch) lncRNA (ENSEGOG00005009088.1)". The record is from RNAcentral. Lineage: Eukaryota; Metazoa; Chordata; Aves; Passeriformes; Passeridae.
CUCCUUUAUUUAUCCGGGCUCCCGGGUGCGUCGCCGCAGGGAAACUGAGGCACGGCCGCCAUGGCACUGGGGACAACGGGGACCCGCAGCGGCAGCAGCCACCCCCCGAGGGUGGCACUGGGGACAAUGGGGACCCCCAGCUCGCCAUGGCCACCGCCCCCCGAGGGUGGCAUCGGCGACAACGGGGACCCCCAGCGCCCCGUGGCGCUGUCACUCGCUGUCCCCAGCCCGCCGGGUUCUUGUGGCACCUGCACGGCCCGGCCUGGCAGCUCCCUGAGCAGGACAGUGCCACUCGCCACUGUCCCCGCUGUCCUGUCCCUGCUGUUCCCACUGUCCUGUCCCCUGUCCCAUGUCUCGUGUCCCGCUGUCCCACCGUACUGUCCCAUGUCCCCUCUGUCCCUGCUAUCCCCACUGUCCUGUCCCUGCUGUCCCCUCUGUCCCACUGUCCUGUCCCCUGUGUCCUGCUGUCCCCGCUGUCCUGUCCUCAUUGUCCUGUCCCCUCUGUCCCCUGUUCUGUCCCCCUGUCCGGUCCCGUGUCCCGUCCCUGUCCCGUGUCCGGUCCCCUGUCCCGUGUCUGGUCCCUGGUCCUGCUAUCCGGUCCCAUAUCCGGUCUCUGUCCCGUGUCCGGUCCCUGUCCGGUCCCGGUCCCGUCUCCGUCCCGUCCGUGUCCCGUGUCCGGUCUCUGUCCCGUGUCCGGUCCCUGUCCCUGCUGUCCGGUCCCGUGUCCGCUCCCUGUCCCUGCUGUCCGGUCCCGUAUCCGGUCCCGUGUCCGGUCCCGGUCCCUGUUCCGUAUCCGGUCCCUGUCCCUGCUGUCCUGUCCCGGUCCCUGUCCCUGCUGUCCGGUCCCGUGUCCGCUCCCGUGUCCGGUCCCGGUCCCGUGUCCGCUCCCGUGUCCGGUCCCGGUCCCGUGUGCGGUCCCGUGUCCGGUCCCGUGCGGCUCAGCCCACGGUGACGCUGAAGCCGCAGUGGAACCGGUUCCUGCGGUGGUUCAGGAAGGCGCCCAGGGCCAGCGUCACGGGCAGGGGGGGCAGCUUCUUCUCCAGGACCCCUCCCACGCUCCAGCUGCUGUCCAGGAGCCCUGCGGGGACAGCGGGGACCCCUGAGCCGCCGCCGCCGGGCGCGGGGGACAGAGGCCACCGGGGCGGGGCCGGCCCACCUCGGAACACGGCGUUGGCCCGCGGCAGGUUGAGCCGGUAGCCGAAGGCGAACGCGGUCUCCUGCAGGCGCGUGUUGGCCUCCAGCUCCACCCCCGCCUGCACCUGCGGGGACGCAGCGGUCACGGCGGCGCGGGGACAGCGAGGGGACAGAGAGGGGACAACGGGGACAGCGGGGGGAGAGCGUGGGGACAGUGUGGGGAGAGCGGGGACAGAGAGGGGACAACGGGGGGAGAGCGUGGGGACAGUGUGGGGACAGCGGGGACAGAGAGGGGAGAGCGUGGGGACAGUGAGGACAGCG